Molecule: non-coding RNA, 115 nt
Organism: Curvularia clavata
Lineage: Eukaryota; Fungi; Ascomycota; Dothideomycetes; Pleosporales; Pleosporaceae
Source: the annotation of a GenBank genome assembly
AUACGACCAUAGGCGAAGUAUCAGACUGGAUCCCGUCCGAUUUCCACACGUCAAUCCUUCGACCGGUGGGCUAGUAGUCAGGUGGGUGACCACUGGCGAAUCCCCGCUGUCGUAU